Molecule: long non-coding RNA, 9877 nt
Organism: Oreochromis aureus
Lineage: Eukaryota; Metazoa; Chordata; Actinopteri; Cichliformes; Cichlidae
Exons: 3
Source: RefSeq, a predicted model, not a curated record
AGUGCGCCUUGCAGCCCCCCCUUUGGAUGGCGACACCACGCGAGUCUGUCAACUCCCAACUUUCUUCUUUUUCUUCCAAAUAGGAAGCCGUCACUUUCACACUUGAUCAAUAACAAGUCGGCUGUUGUAUGCCAGGAUAUGGGCUCGCAAGAUACCGGCAGGAAUUAAAAAAGACGGUCCACCGCAGUGCUCUCUUUUUUGUUACUCUUUCUUUGUGCUUAAAAACGUCCUCAUUUCACAUAUUUGCGUUAAAUCAACAGACUGACGCCCCGCGAUCUCCGUGCGCCUUGCAUUAAAAUCGGCAGUUGGGGUUUCAAAUGGAUUACUACAGUUGUGCAAGUCGACUUUCUAACGCACGACGAUUGUUGCAUUGGUAAGACAGCAUAGCCUGUGACAAAAGUAAAAGUAAGAUGGCGCAAAUUGUCCUCGAGCGACAACUGUGUGAGAAUAGUUUUGUAGGUGAGAAUUUUUUUUUUUAAUCAUGUCGACGGUUUUAUGUUUUAAUUGUGAACGCGUGGUCGUCCACUCCGUGAUCACGGCUAUUUGCUUAUUUUAUUUUAUUUUAUUUUAUUUUAUUUUAUAUCAAAUUAUUCUGAAAUGAACCAGUCGGAUAAGCUACACUGCCAGAAACUCAUGAACCCUCAAACAAGGGCAGAACAGUGCCAAGUGCACCGAAUCUCACCGGACAAACUGUUGUAAUCUCAUUUGAUCGCUGUAGAUGCAUUUCUGUUCCUGAAAUUCUAAAGAGUGUUUAAUGUACCGCGUUUAUCGUUAAUUAGUUAAAUAUAUUUAAUAAAGAUAAGUCCAGGCAUCAUUAUUAAAUAUAAUAAUUAACGGUCAUUAUUAUUAUUAUUAUUAUUAUUAUUAUUAUUAUUAUUAUUAUUAUUAUUAUUAUCAUUAGGACAUAAAUAUCGUUCUUUCACAAGUAUGGAAUACUAACUUGGCUUCAAAAUAUGAGCUGAAUUUUAUUAUUUUGUUUAGUAUGUUUCAAACAUCUAAAAGCCCAUUCUCAUUCUGGUGACUUUCCAGUUCAAGUCUCAGAUAAGCCGAAAGGGAUCGCUGUAGGCGCUGCUAAAGAGUGUGUGUGCACAUAUUGUCACGUGUUUCUUACGUUCCGAAAACCUCUAGAGAGCAAAGAAUGAUGACGCUGGUACAGUGGGAGAAGACUCAGACUUACGAGGGAGAGAAAGAGGGGAAAAAAAGAGAAAGAUGGAUACACAAAGCGAUCCUACAGUAUAGCCUAAUCAGAUGACAGUGAUACCAUGAGCCCUAGUUUCACAGCGCCCUGUAGUGAUUAGACACUCAAGUAAUUAUUGGAACUUUUCUCAUAAUAACAGCUACAAGGGGAGCAAUUCGAAUCAGCUGGUACUAAUAUAUAUAUUCGCUUUUUAAUUUACGUUAAAGUUAAAAUAAAGCAGCAGCGAUAAACAGCCUCCUUAUUAGAGACGUAAGUGUAUUUAAUAGUGGAGUGAUUGUGUGCCACGAGCUAUAAAAUUCCCAUAACUGGAAUAUUGUGCCUUGUGGGUUGUUUCAUCCCGAAAUAUUUACUUUAUCUAUUUAUUUCAUAAGAUAUAGGGAAAAAAGUUUUGAGGGCCUAGGAUGAAGGGUCUGUGUCAUGUGUCCUCCUUAAUGCGUUUUGGUUCAGAGUUGCUCUCUGAAGUAGGAGGAGGACCCAUAAUUUGAGAUCACGGAGCCUAUAAUAGGAGUAGGGUUAUGGCAACUGCUACCGCCUCUCAGCACUGCUCCGAUAAAGGAGGAGGUAUAGGUGAGUACAGUUUUGUUCAUUUGUGUGUGUUUUUUAAAUGUAUUUGAACUACGCAAGUGUUCGCAAUAGUCUGAGUUUAAUCUUCAUUUAUAUUUUAAUUAUUCUGAUAUUAUCUGACUUUGUCUCUUCCUAUUCGCUAUCACUUCUUCUUCUUCCUCUUUCCCCCCUGAGUGAACUGCCUCCGUUUUGACGCAUGGAAACGUUUUUAAGUGGCAAAGAAGAAUUGAAUGAAAGAUGAUGCAUGCCACUUAAAAUGCCUGAGGGAGCAAGCGUAAUCUAAAUUGGAUAUAGAAGCUAUUAUUACACAACAUUAUGCGUUGUGGCGGACUAAUUGCGUGGCUGGGUGAGUUAAACAGUCAGUUAAUGUCGAGUGGCAGACAGGUUUCUGGAGCGCACAAGGUCAGCUGUACUGCUCCCAAGCCUUUAGUGGUAUACAGAAAAAUGCUUGAAGUAUUCAUGGGAUUUUUAACCAUUCUAAAUCUGUGUCCUAAACCGAUUAGUUGACACCAAUUUUUCUUUGAUGUAUUAGCUGAGGGCUUUUGCCACUUGGAAGCCAAUUGAAAUUCAAAACAGUUUUCGCUCCAAAUGCUGUGGGGAGAUCUGCUGCAAAUAAUGGAUGUAAUUUAUUUUUGACCUUGCUUUUUUUUUUUUUUUUUUUUUUUUCAAAAGGGAGGGUUGUUAAAUGAUUAAACAUAUGUGCACUACGCUCUCGACUAAACAACUAGCAUUUGAUUGGCUAUUAUUAGUUUUGCAUUAUAGAGCUGUAAAUUUCCAUAUUUCUUAAAGUGUUAUAUAAGUGAUAAGCAUGACUAAAAUUGUUAUUCCUUUUUUUUAAUGCCAAAUUCACUCUUAAAAAGUUGCUGUUCCUGGUGUUAUUUUUCCUAAAUGAAUUAAAAAAAUAAUAAUUGACUCUUUGUUUUUGUUUUUGAAUCCCAGAUCCAUGUUGAUGAAGUCACCAAGCAGUCAGUGAAAUGCACCCUUCAAACACACAAGCACCCUUGCAAUUACAGCUUAAGUUAAACAACCUUGUUCACAUUUUGAAAUGAUAAUUAAAAAAUACAUACUCAAAAAGUCAGUUCUGUGUUUAUAUAACUGUAAUAAUUUAUCCGUUUUUUAACUCUUUUAUAGUUUUUAAAUAUGCUGCAUUGCUGCUAUUCCCGUGAUUUUAUUCGAGAUAGAAUCCCUCAAUGUUUUACGUAGUAUCACCACUUUUGCUCACACAAACUGAUGCCCAUGAUUCGAUGGGUUGAUUUGACUUUAAUAAUCAUACAAUUUACAUGAAGCACAAUAAUUCAAUAUGGCUUUCAGGGGAGAGAAUCUAUUUUCUGAUCUCCUUUCUGUUCUUGUGAUCUCUUUUUCUUUUAUUGACCUGAAUGAAGAUGUAUGGAGUGAGAGUGUGUGUGUGUCUUUGGUUUCCUCCUGAUGGGGUAUAUCAGCUCCCCCCUCUUCUCCCUACUCCCCACGAUCCCCGCAAGGCUGAAUGGCAGGCCUCUGGAUUGGCUAAGUGAUGAAAUGAUGACCCUAUUAUGGGAAGCGAUUCCAAAAUGAGAGAUAUCAGAAGAAGAUUACACCCCUCUCUCACUGCCACGCCAUCCUCCUGCAAUACACUGCCAGCUGCGCAGAUGAUGAUUGAUUCGCUUGAGAUGGAUCACAGGAAGCACCCAUUGAUUUUUCUGUGUUUUAUCAAAAAUAUUUAUUUACAGUUGUAUCCAUAGGGUGUAUCCAGACUCAACCCAUACUUCGUUCUCCAAAUGGGGGUUGGUAUAAAAGGGAUAAUUCCCCCUGUUCCAUGACAAGACGAAUGACCUGAAGUAUUAUUUCAGAAAUGAGUCAAUAGGCUCAGUGAGUAAAUGAAUAUUGAUUGGAUAUAAUGAAGCCUGAGUGUGAAUAUGAGCCCUGUUGCAGACUUCACUGCAGUGAUGCUGAUCCUCUCCAACUGAGUAUUUUGCAGACCUGCAUGUGCAGCUGGGACCAAAUACACCUCAUUCAGAGGGUGAAUCAACACACUCAGCAUUCAACUUUUCCUGUGUAUUUUGAUUCAUGAUCUGAGAGUGUCCAUACUUGACUCGCUUCUUAUCAGAUCUAUGGCUAAAUAGCAUGUUUAUGGUGAAGGUGCUAUAGGUGCCAUAUGGCAAUAAUCCAAGACUCAUGUUACUUAAAAGCUCUGGAGACAUGUAGGAGGCAUUUCUGUGUCACCUUUACAAAGGUAAACUGAUACAACAUACAAAUCAAAUGACAACUAGAAUGCUAAAACCACAGUGUGGGAGCUGUGCCCUAGAUAUUUGCACUGACUUAAUCCAAUUGAAAUAGUAUGAGUGAGUUGCAGGGGCUCCCAGGUCUGUUGCUUGCUUAUGUAUGUGAUGCAUAAUAGAAGUUGACGAGGUUGGUGAUAGAUCACAGCCCAGGUAAUGUAAACACAUUAAUCCCUCAGGGUUCAUGUGCAUGUUCUUUCUCUCCUUUUCUCUUAUAUCAGUCCCUCUCUCUCUAUCUGUCUCUCUCUUUCUCUCUCUUCAAGCCCUCAUCCUCCCCCCUCCACGUUCAUCAUCUUCCCUAAACGCGUUAGUGGAGCACAAACCAGAAGCAGCCUUAAUCUGUCAACAUGCCCUUUAAUUGGAGGGAGAAAACAACACGUGCUUCUGGUUAUGCCAUUCCUAAGUGCACAUGCCAAAGAAACACAGAGUUCAUGGAAGAAGUGAUCCCGGGAGAGCAGGGCAUAAUUAAAAGUAUCUUUUAAUAGGCUUGUAAUGCUGAGCCUGACUCUUGUUGCUUUAAGUAGAGGGCGAACUCUGUGGCUGGAGACGGACAUGCAAGGGGCUUCUGCUGAGGGAGCCUGUAAACGAUACAUUGCCUCGUCGUCAUCAGACAUGCAGUCUCUGCCUCAGUCACCACACUCGAGAUGACAGCCACUUUCCACCCCUGCCGCGGACACCUUGGCUUACCCGUUGCCGUGUUCUUUUGUUCUCAGAAUGAGAGAUUCUCCUCCACGACAUCACCUCUCCUCAUCUCCUUCCCAGCCACUUUGGCAAGUUGUGUUCUACCUCCUACUCACAGCACCAGCGGGGAGUGAGAACUGGGACUAAGGGGUUGAUUUGGGGCCUGCUACACUGUAAUCAAAUGAGACUGCUUAGGGGAGAGGAGAAGGAGGAGGUGGAGUAUUAUGUUCUGUCGUGCAUUCCACUGCAGCAUUGUUGCUUUUUUGUUUUUGUCAGGGCAGGCUUUGAUGCUGUAUCCUCUUACCUUUGUAGUCCCGGUAGCCAUGUUUCAUAAACACGGAAUGGGAAACAUCCUCAGCAUUAGAAAUUUAGAUUGCUGCUUUCCUCCUGCCACUCUGCAUUCCGCACGUGCCCGGUCGCAUUCUCCAUCUCCCAUUGCUGAGUAACCAUUUUGUCCGACAUCUGACACACUGCCCUGGGUUAUUGAGCCAGACGUGGAAAUCCAAAGCGGAGAUGCUCUCCUUAAUGCCUGACACCUGGUGCAGAUUUGGAAGGGAUUGCACUACAGGGUGUGCUUUACAAGUGGACGCUACUCAGGAGUGUUGCAGCUCACCUUACCGCUUGCAGUCACAUCUGCAGACUGUGCUGGAGCAGAAUGGCUAGCGAACAUAAACACAGCAAGGACAUCAAAGGCCGGCAGGUUGGGCUAUACCACCUGAGCAUGCUGAUUGCAGUGCAGUUCAGUAUCAUCUGACUAGUGAAAAGAGAAGAUUUUGUUGCACCAAGUUGAGACAUUUAACAGAAGGUUCCAACCAGAAUUUUUUGUUUGUUUGUUUAAAAAAUAAAUGAAUAAAUAAAAGCUCGAAACAUAAGCCUUUUGGCCUAUGAAUGGCAAAUUAUAAUUCAGUCCUGGAUAACUCAAGCAACACAGAUAAACUGUGAGCUGUACGCCACAAUAAUGUAACAGUCUUUCCUGGAUAAUAAUAUAAUAAGCAAGAUAAGCAAGUGCACACUUGGUGAGCUUCAUAGGCACACUGUUUAUGUUGACACAUGCAACUCUCUUCCUGAUGCAAAUGCAAUCUAAACAUUAAGCAAAGGGAAGGCAAGCGUAGCCCAUAAAGGCUGUGAGCUCCAAACACUUUGAACAGACAACUAUCACUAAUCACUCCCAGAGCAGUGCGGCGUGUAAUUACUCUGCCAAACGUUUGCCUUUCACAGCUUAGCACUGGGAGCCCUGACCCUGCGCUUCCCUGUCUUUCCUCACCACCGUGCAUGUGGAAGGGGAGGACCCCCACCACCCCCCGCCUGCUCCUCUUUCCCCUUUCUCUUUAGCAAGGGGAAAGGCAAGCUGAGCUCCCUCUCAGUAUUUAGAAAAAGAGUUGGGGGGGGAGAGGGGGGGAAAAAGAGAGGGAGAAAGACAGGAAGGGAGAAGACUGAGGUUGGUGCUUCCGGCUUUGUGGGAGCCCAUUUAAACAGGCUUUGAAACCCUAGCCAUCCGGAGAUCAGAAAUAGCCUUAUUGACUGCAUGGGCCCAGAAGUGACUGAGCACACAGGGUUCUUAAGAGUUCACUCUUCCUCGCCGCUUGGAACAGGGGGGUGGGCACCACAUGCUGAGGCCCUCUACAAAGAUUUUGGACAUAAAUUUUACAUCAGGAGAAAAUAUUAUUUUUACAGCUAUUUUUAGUGUCACAUGGUUGUAUCUCAAUUUUUGUGCUGUUGUAUGAUUUGUGUGUGUGGUUUUUAUUUUAGUUAUUUUUUAUUUUAUUUUUUGGAGUGACAGACAUCUAAUUCUGCUCUUUCCCUCAGUCUUAUUUAUUGAUAUUAGUAAUGCAGCUGUCAUUCUGCAAUGAGAUCUGUCCUCUGUCUGGGUGAAUGCUGAUAAGAUGACACAAUGCAAAUAUGAAGUGUGAUGGAGCCGCCUUGGCAAGCAGGUACAGAGUGUGCAGGGACCAGCAUCCCAUAAUGACUAUUAGCUGGAUUUCACAGCCUGCUUCUGAUCUCUUUCAGUGACAGGGGCCUUUAUAAGAGGCUGGGUGUGUCACUGCCCCUCCUAAUGGCUCUCAUAUACAUGUGCAUAUGCACCCAAAUGGCAGAUACACAAAGAGGAAUAUUAUACAAGACACUGUACAAUAAGUUUAAUGCUAUUUGGCAUCACUGUGGACUUUAAAAAAACAAAGGCAAUUUUUUGUAUCACAGAAAUGGUGAUAGAUUUUCUCCUUUUUUAUUUUUUAUUUUUUAUGAAUAAAUGAAAUGAGAUUGCUAUAAAUUUUAAGCUGGCCCACUGGCACAAUGAAACUGAACUUCAUAGUAGAAAUGAUCCUUUCAGCAUAUUAUCGAUACAUAACGUAUCUUUAUCUUAAUUUCACCACUAGUCAUCUUUACCAUAUUGUCAUAUUCUUCACCACUGCUGUAAAGGCUCAUUUAGACUCGCAGAAGCUUAAAGAGCUCUCUCAGUUGCUGCUUGUAUAAGCUUUUCAGAGAGUCCCGUUUUAUCACUGAUGUAGUAAUUUCACUUCAUCAGUCAGUUGUGACUAAAAAUACAUCAGGGAUUAGCUUCAUGGCCAGACUAUCUUCCGCUGCUUUGAUAACAUAAUGGGGGCUGGUGCUUGUGGUUACAAUCAUCUGAUAUAGGUUCAUAACAUUCGAAACUACACUUACAAUACUAUGGGCUUUUUGAAAGAGAAGAAUAGAGUGUGAUCUUCUUAAACUCUCAUGAAAAUUGUGUGUUUUCCCUUUUAAUUCCUUUGUAGGAGCAUUUUGCAAAGAUGAAAAUGGCUCCCACCCCCACUCGUUCCCCUUUCCAGUUUCUAUUCUACACAAAUUAGCUAUGGUCCUGGAGGGCAAAAUGACAAGAGGUUACUGGAAGACUAUGUGUUUAAUUAAUUGAAAAAUGCUUAAAUUGCUUUUACAGUUGUUAUGUGGAGUGAAAAAAGGGAAUCCAUGUUGCCAGUACUCAACCAUAAUUAGCACCCGCGGGAAUUAAAUAUUUAGCAUUAGCUGUGUUGCGGCACUUAGGACACAAAUUUCUAUUUUAACUAUGAAAGCGAGCCUGUCUUAAGUGCAUGAGUCUGUGUGGACAGCUGUGCAAAGGGGAACAGCACAGGAUAUUUCAGCGAGACACCCCAGUGGCAUUUCGGGUCCUUCCACAUCACAUGUGUAAGAGAUAUGGCAGUUGUAUUCCCAGGGGUUAGGCAUUACUCAGAGUAUUUAGUUUUCUAAUUAGGCUGAGGGCCUUCGUCCAUGCCUACCACCACCAUGGGAGCCAAUGAGAAUUUCCUCUCUUAUGUGUCAACUCUGAGACACAGAAAGAGGGGGAAAAAACAGGAAUGAAAAGAAGGAGAUAAAGAGGACGCAUGUGUGAAAAUGAGAGAGAGAUGUACACAUGGUUGAGGGAGAAAUAAAAAACCUGCAGAAAAGCCUUUGUUUAUUCCAACUUUAAUUACACAUUGCAUUUAAUGACUCCACUGGUGUGUUUGAGGCUGGAGAGGGAGAAGCUGUGGAGCCUUAAUGAUCUGUAGUAGUGGAUGUCAGCCGAGCCGUUGGAGACUUAAAGCCCAUUUUUAAAACUCCCUUUUUGUUUGGGCCUAGAGGCGACAGCGCAAAUGGAGUUCAUGCUAAGCCACACUGGGCUAGACUUAGGGACUACUUCACUGUCUGGUCAGCCAAUUUCACAAAGGGCCAGGCCAUUUGGAGGCAUCAGCAGCUGACCGCAGCAACUGUUAAACUUGUCAGUGUGCAUCAGGUUACCCACUAAUGAGAAGUAAUAAAGGUUAUCCCAACUUUUUAAGUGUUUGAUCUUUGUGCACAGUGGGAUUUAAACAUAACGCGUGGAAGGUGAACCAAGAUUGGAAUUGGAAUUUGACCCCUAUGUUAUGUGUGAAUGAGGAUUUAGAAAUAGACACAAAUAAUUAAAAGCUCAAGCUCUGAAACUUGGAUGAAUAGUUUUAGAAUGUAACAUAUUGUGCACUUAACUGAUAUAUCGUGGAUUAUUAUUUUUUGUGCAGGGAUGCAGGAUUACAGGAUUACAACCAGACUUGAAGAUUGUCUAAAAUCAUAGUGGUCAACAAUGUUUUCUGCCAAUAUACAACAAUCGGGCAGCAUAAGCUCUAUUUUUGAGAAAUUGCAUCUCGCUCUGGGGAAGCUGCAUUUUUACUAUAAUGUACUAAUGCUGGAUUGAAUCACUGAAUCAUGUUCAAUUAACACAACUGAAUGUAUGACCCUUUGAGAUGCAGUGUUAUUUGUUUUGACACACAGCUCUCAAAAAACGUACCCACCCCAUCUUCAGUGCAGAACGUUAAAACCCCUUGUUCUGUAAAACAAAUUCUCCGGAUUAUUCAAAGCUGUGAGAAUUAAGAUGGAAAAAUCCAUGCGUAAAAUUACCGUCCAUUCAACUUGAGGCAAUAUUUUCCUCUAGAGGCAAAUAUGUUAAUUGAGCUUCCUAAAGUAGCUCAAUCCUCAGGUUAUUUAAUUUCCCCAAAAGCCUUAGCUGUGCUGGGGUUGGUGGGGGGUGUAAAAUUCUUUACACCAGCAAUAUUGUCAUCAAGGGAAAAAUAGCAGCAAUGAGAAGAAAUGGAAAAGAGCAUACUGGUGGAGGUUGAAUAACUGUUAAGUCAUGAGGUAUAUAUAUAUACACAUAUACAUUAUAAAAUGAAUCAUGAGAUAAUGCAAAAAUUUCACAAAUGUUAAUGUAAAAGCAAGCUGCUAAAUCACUAGUUUUCUGCCAGAAAAUACAGUUUUGAAUAACUCUAAACUGAGCUUAACCUGCCAAAGAAUCAUCUUCAUAACUGUCAUGUCAUCUAAUUGCUUCUGUCUGUUUUCCCCAAAGGCUGUGUCCAGUUCUGUCACUGGUCCUUAGUGCUCCAGCAGCCUGGUCAAAAAGACAUCCUGGCAGGGUCCCAGGGUGGAUGCAUCGCCCACGCACGCUGCUCUUGCCAGAUCCCAGAAGUCUUUGUGGUGAACCACUGACCGUGCUGCUCCCUAUUUUCUUCCAGCCCAGCAAAUAAUGUGUCAGAAAAAGAUUAUUGAUAGCCCAUAAAAGAAGAGGCAGAAUGUUGUUGCCGCACUGCUCCAACUUUAAAGAACAAUACAAGUGCUAAACCAUCAGUUUCAAUGGUGCACUGCUCCUGAAAGAGCACAGCAUUUAUUUUUCACAUUGUUGUUCAGUUUGAAUAAAAGGUGC